Molecule: long non-coding RNA, 1075 nt
Organism: Gorilla gorilla gorilla (western lowland gorilla)
Lineage: Eukaryota; Metazoa; Chordata; Mammalia; Primates; Hominidae
Exons: 4
Source: RefSeq, a predicted model, not a curated record
GGAACCUGGGAUUUCAAGGGCCGACAGGAAACCUCGAGCAGGGAACUCUGGGCUUGCGGAGGAACCUUGUUUCCCUUUUUUUCUUCCCCCCGACUUUCACUCGAUAAAACCCUGCUUUAUUCACCCUUUAAACCUUCUCCAAACCUAAAUUUUCCUGGCCAUGGGACGGACAAGAACCCAGUCUUCAGCUGAAGGAAGGAAAAGUCCUGCAACAUUCUUGGCAUGCAACGUUGGGGCUCUUGAAGAGGCCUGAAAACAACUAACUCAGCCUAAGAAUGCAUCUGUCUGCUAAUUCACUUUGAAGAAGUUGCAAGACAGAAAAGUAAUCUACAGACAGCUUACAACAGUGCUGCACACUAUUAAUCUGACUUCACAGUGAGACGCUGAGAAAGGUGAAGUAAGUGGACUGAGAGCCACAGCUCCCAAGGGCAAUGCUUGGAUAGGAACCCAGAUCUUUACCUUCAAAGAAAGCUACAGGACUCAGCAAACAUGCUUAGAUAUCUGCUUCGGUGUGAAACGUAUAAUGAAAGAAGACUUCAUAAGCAGCUGUUUCUUAAGAAGCUUCUGUUAUACAAAUAUGACACAGUUAAUGAACAGAACUAGAGAGCAAUCUGCUACAUCUGUCUUCAAAGGACAAGGAAGAUAGCAAUCAAUACUGUAUUUACGACGGCAUUUUUCACCUGAAAAGUUUCCACUUAUUCACCGCUUGUGUCUAAGAAAGACAGGCUUUUUUUUACUUAAAAUUUCUCCCUUGCUGCUUACCUAUUUUAGUGGUAGCAGCAGUUGUAUAAACUUAGUAAGAACAGUUAUUAAUGUGUAAACUGAAUUAAUUAAUAUCUCUUUGAACAAAACAAAUGGAAGUGUGCCUAACCACUGUUUCUACCACUGGCUGAGGGAAAGAAGGCAUUUCCAUAGCUGGAGCAGGUAAUAAAAUGCAGAGCCAGAGGAGAGAGCAUUAUACAAGAAUCAUUUUUUAAAGGAAAGAAGACAAAGUGUGCCAAUUCCAUUUUAAAGAUGAAGGAGACAAAGAUUCUGAAGGGUAUAUAUCCAAAGAUAAUAAAAACAUGAAAUUUGC